This 756-nucleotide ribosomal RNA is filed under the name uncultured Planctomycetota bacterium. RNAcentral describes it as "bacterial SSU rRNA". It matches the Rfam family "Bacterial small subunit ribosomal RNA", at positions 68 to 844 of the family's 1533-position model. Lineage: Bacteria; Pseudomonadati; Planctomycetota. The record is from RNAcentral.
UGUACCCCGCAAGGGGGAAAGCGGCGUAAGGGAGAGUAAUACGUAGAUACGUGCCUUCAGGUCUGGGAUAGCCACGGGAAACUGUGGGUAAUACCGGAUAAUGUCUAAGGACCAAAGAUGUGAUUUCACCUGAAGAUCGGUCUGCGUCCUAUCAGCUUGUUGGUGGGGUAACGGCUCACCAAGGCUACGACGGGUACGGGGUGUGAGAGCAUGCCCCCGCUCACUGGGACUGAGACACUGCCCAGACACCUACGGGUGGCUGCAGUCGAGGAUCUUCGGCAAUGGGCGCAAGCCUGACCGAGCGACGCCGCGUGGGGGAUGAAGGCCUUCGGGUUGUAAACUCCUGUCAGUGGGGAGGAAGGCCCUGUGAAGAGUAGGGUUUGACCUAUCCGCAGAGGAAGUGUGGGCUAAGUUCGUGCCAGCAGCCGCGGUAAGACGAACCACACGAACGUUAUUCGGAAUUACUGGGCUUAAAGGGUGCGUAGGCUGUGCGGAAAGUUGGGUGUGAAAUCCCCCGGCUCAACCGGGGAAUUGCGCCCAAAACUACCGUGCUGGAGGAAGACAGAGGUGAGCGGAACUUCGGGUGGAGCGGUGAAAUGCGUUGAUAUCCGAAGGAACACCGGUGGCGAAAGCGGCUCACUGGGUCUUUUCUGACGCUGAUGCACGAAAGCUAGGGGAGCAAACGGGAUUAGAUACCCCGGUAGUCCUAGCCGUAAACGAUGAGCACUGGGUUGAAGGGCCCUCCAUAGCCUUUCA